CCUACGGGAGGCAGCAGUGGGGAAUAUUGCACAAUGGGGGAAACCCUGAUGCAGCGACGCCGCGUGAGUGAAGAAGUAUUUCGGUAUGUAAAGCUCUAUCAGCAGGGAAGAAAAUGACGGUACCUGAUUAAGAAGCCCCGGCUAACUACGUGCCAGCAGCCGCGGUAAUACGUAGGGGGCACGCGUUAUCCGGAUUUACUGGGUGUAAAGGGAGCGUAGACGGUGGUGCAAGUCAGCAGUGAAAGCCCGGGGCUUAACCCCGGGACUGCUUUGGAAACUGUGUGACUUGAGUGCAGGAGAGGUAAGUGGAAUUCCUGGUGUAGCGGUGAAAUGCGUAGAGAUUAGGAGGAACACCAGUGGCGAAGGCGGCUUACUGGACUGUAACUGACGUUGAGGCUCGAAAGCGUGGGGAGCAAACAGGAUUAGAUACCCUGGUAGUC
Molecule: ribosomal RNA, 440 nt
Filed under: uncultured bacterium
Lineage: Bacteria
Description: partial 16S ribosomal RNA
Rfam family: Bacterial small subunit ribosomal RNA
Source: RNAcentral